RNAcentral lists this transfer RNA (66 nucleotides) under Paralepas cf. quadrata. RNAcentral's name for it is "tRNA-Pro". The record is from RNAcentral. Lineage: Eukaryota; Metazoa; Arthropoda; Thecostraca; Heteralepadidae.
CAGAGAGUAGUUUAUAAAAAUAUUGGUUUUGGGAAUCAAUGAUGCUUGCGAGAUUGGCCUGUCUGA